GCCUGGGUGGCUCAGUUGGUUAAGCGCCUGACUUCAGCUCAGGUCAUGAUCUCACGGUUCGUGGGUUCGAGCCCCGUGUCAGGCU
Molecule: transfer RNA, 85 nt
Filed under: Felis catus (domestic cat)
Lineage: Eukaryota; Metazoa; Chordata; Mammalia; Carnivora; Felidae
Rfam family: tRNA
About the family: Transfer RNA (tRNA) molecules are approximately 80 nucleotides in length.
Source: Rfam by way of RNAcentral